GAUCAACUGUCACUCACUAGAAAAGUUCUCCCUUGACCACCCAUGUAAAAGCCUCCAUCUUCCUCCAGGGCCCCUCCACCACCAGAGUAGUUGGCUAAAAGUUUGGUGAGGAAGCCUCCAAUCAUGCUGUAUGUCAGGCUUCCAACUGCCCAGAGCUGCACCUGUAAACUUACUGAUUGUCUCAGCAGUCCGAGGGAGGAAGUACCGUCUUCCCCUUAUACAGGUACAGAGAACGAGGCUCGGGAAGGUAGAGUGAUCUGACUAAGGCCACACAAUUUUAUUAAGCAGCAGAGCUCAUUCCCUGUCUGUAUCCCUCCUCCCUAUUAGGUGAGACAGAAACAGAGAUGGAGAUGGAGCUGCGUGGCACUGGAGGUGGUAGCUGGUGCCGUGGUUUCCAAUGAGACUGUCUGGAGUGGCUGGGGACGUGCCAGCGCCCAGAGCACAGGAGCAGCACCAGGAUGAGGCAGGAAACCAGCGAGUCUGGUGCUUAAACUACCUGGUACUCAGUAACACUCAAGACCUGAGCGUUGAGAUGGUAAUAACAAACAGGGGUUGAACUGAGCAGAAUUAAUCAGGAGAGGAGAGCUGAUGAUGGACACCGUCUGAUGCCUGCACCAGCACAUCCCCUUUCUUCCUAGUCCCUCCCCACUGCCGUGCAGAAGGGGCUCCAGAGGCUUCUGAUGACUGUGGGGCAGGCAGGGCAGCUGACUCUUGCUCUGCACCCGGGCUGCUGCCAUUCCUCCCACAGGAGAUUUGCCAGUCAGCACAGGCCCCACAGAGAUCCCUUGCUCUUCUUUCCCCUGGGGGUGGGGAGCUGAGGAGGGUGGGAAGGGUGGGGGUGGGGUGCAUCUUAGCCUCCCUGGCUCAUCGGUGGGCAGCCCCACCAUAGUCAGGCUCUUUUCCUGAUCUAAUUAGCAUCACUGAGAAUUAAACUACACAGCCCUGAAGUGAGCCUGCUUCCCCAAGAGCCUUCCAGAAUUAACCCUGAGUACAGGUGAAACCUUUCCGUGCUUCAGGGCCUGGAGUUCGGGAGGCACUAACCAGAGACGGGAGCUGCAACUGCUGCCUCUGAUUAUGCAAUGUGUGUUCUCAAGCAAGGGGAAGAGAUGAGGAGAGACGGGAGGGUGGGAGAGGAGAGGAGAGGAGGGGACUUAGAAUAGAAUCCACCCUUCCAAUCCCACAAAUAAAAUCGAUUAGCAACA
RNAcentral lists this long non-coding RNA (1202 nucleotides) under Chinchilla lanigera (long-tailed chinchilla). RNAcentral describes it as "lncRNA (ENSCLAG00000029002.1)". Lineage: Eukaryota; Metazoa; Chordata; Mammalia; Rodentia; Chinchillidae. The record is from RNAcentral.